AGAACGAACGCUGGCGGCAUGCCUAAUACAUGCAAGUCGAACGAACUCUUCGGAGUUAGUGGCGCACGGGUGCGUAACGCGUGGGAAUCUGCCCCUUGGUUCGGAAUAACAGUUGGAAACGACUGCUAAUACCGGAUGAUGACGAAAGUCCAAAGAUUUAUCGCCAAGGGAUGAGCCCGCGUAGGAUUAGCUAGUUGGUGAGGUAAAGGCUCACCAAGGCAACGAUCCUUAGCUGGUCUGAGAGGAUGAUCAGCCACACGUGGACUGAGACACGGCCCAGACU
This 283-nucleotide ribosomal RNA is filed under the name uncultured soil bacterium. Its description in RNAcentral is "partial 16S ribosomal RNA". It matches the Rfam family "Bacterial small subunit ribosomal RNA", at positions 26 to 337 of the family's 1533-position model. The record is from RNAcentral.